UCGGGAAUAUUGCGCAAUGGAGGAAACUCUGACGCAGUGACGCCGCGUAUAGGAAGAAGGUCUUCGGAUUGUAAACUAUUGUCGUUAGGGAAGAGAAAGGACAGUACCUAAGGAGGAAGCUCCGGCUAACUACGUGCCAGCAGCCGCGGUAAUACGUAGGGAGCGAGCGUUAUCCGGAUUUAUUGGGUGUAAAGGGUGCGUAGACGGGAAAACUAAGUUAGUUGUGAAAUCCCUCGGCUUAACUGAGGAACUGCAACUAAAACUAUUUUUCUUGAGUGCAGGAGAGGAAAGUGGAAUUCCUAGUGUAGCGGUGAAAUGCGUAGAUAUUAGGAGGAACACCAGUGGCGAAGGCGACUUUCUGGACUGUAACUGACGUUGAGGCUCGAAAGUGUGGGUAUCAAACAGGAUUAGAUACC
This 416-nucleotide ribosomal RNA is filed under the name uncultured bacterium. Its description in RNAcentral is "bacterial SSU rRNA". It matches the Rfam family "Bacterial small subunit ribosomal RNA", at positions 355 to 786 of the family's 1533-position model. The record is from RNAcentral.